RNAcentral lists this ribosomal RNA (513 nucleotides) under uncultured bacterium. RNAcentral describes it as "partial 16S ribosomal RNA". It matches the Rfam family "Bacterial small subunit ribosomal RNA", at positions 28 to 523 of the family's 1533-position model. The record is from RNAcentral.
GACGAACGCUGGCGGCGUGCCUAAUACAUGCAAGUAGAACGCUGACUACUUUAGCUUGCUAGAGUAGAAGGAGUUGCGAACGGGUGAGUAACGCGUAGGUAACCUGCCUACUAGCGGGGGAUAACUAUUGGAAACGAUAGCUAAUACCGCAUAACAGUGUUUAACACAUGUUAGAUGCUUGAAAGAUGCAAUUGCAUCACUAGUAGAUGGACCUGCGUUGUAUUAGCUAGUUGGUGGGGUAACGGCCCACCAAGGCGACGAUACAUAGCCGACCUGGGAGGGUGAUCGGCCACAGUGGGACUGAGACACGGCCCAGACUCCUACGGGAGGCAGCAGUAGGGAAUCUUCGGCAAUGGGGGCAACCCUGACCGAGCAACGCCGCGUGAGUGAAGAAGGUUUUCGGAUCGUAAAGCUCUGUUGUAAGAGAAGAACGUGUGUGAGAGUGGAAAGUUCACACAGUGACGGCAACUUACCAGAAAGGGACGGCUAACUACGUGCCAGCAGCCGCCGUAA